RNAcentral lists this ribosomal RNA (414 nucleotides) under uncultured microorganism. RNAcentral's name for it is "bacterial SSU rRNA". It matches the Rfam family "Archaeal small subunit ribosomal RNA", at positions 459 to 872 of the family's 1478-position model. The record is from RNAcentral.
CAGCAGCCGCGGUAAUACCGGCGGCCCGAGUGGCGGUCACUAUUAUUGGGCUUAAAGCGUCCGUAGCCGGGUUGGGAAGUCCUCCGGGAAAUCUGGCCGCUUAACGGUCAGAAUGCCGGAGGAUACUCCCAGCCUAGGGAGCGGGAGAGGCCGAGGGGAUUCCCGGAGUAGGGGUGGAAUCCUAUAAUCCCGGGAGGUCCACCUGUGGCGAAGGCGCUCGGCUGGAACGCGUCCGACGGUGAGGGACGAAGGCCAGGGGAGCAAACCGGAUUAGAUACCCGGGUAGUCCUGGCUGUAAACGAUGCGGACUUUGUGUCGGACAAGCUAUGAGCUUGUCCGGUGCCGGAGGGAAACCGUUAAGUCCGCCGCCUGGGGAGUACGGCCGCAAGGCUGAAACUUAAAGGAAUUGGCGGG